Molecule: long non-coding RNA, 3397 nt
Filed under: Canis lupus familiaris (dog)
Lineage: Eukaryota; Metazoa; Chordata; Mammalia; Carnivora; Canidae
Description: lncRNA (ENSCAFG00000051691.1, ENSCAFG00805027447.1, ENSCAFG00845025414.1)
Source: RNAcentral
CCUUCAUCGAUCACUUUAGGGUUGAAAAGCUGGGUAGUAGAGCCCAGAAGGCAUACAUAGAAAUAUAACAAGACAGGAAACACAUGCUGGGGGGCCAACGGGAGAGAAGAAGUUCAGGGAAGAAGUUCUGAAAGGGUUCAGAGGAGCAAGGGGCUGCCAAGGCAGUGCUUAAUCUGGACCUGAAAGGGAAAAUGGGCACCAACUGAGGGGAAGAAAGGGCCAGGAAAACUGUGCAAAAGGCAGGAAGCUGUGCAAGGCACACAAGGGAUGGCAAUCAAACCAGUAUGACCAGAUAUUGCAGGGGUAUUAGUAGAGAUCAGUUGGUACAGGUGAUUAGCAGCAAAUACAGCCCUGAAUGGCAGCAACGCUGACUGCUUAUAGGAAAGAAAACAGUCUUUUCUUUUCCCAGAGAUCCUGCCUGAGUCCCCAGAAUGGACACUAAAAACCUUCCAGGAGGUGGACACUGUGAAAAAUAGUUUCCUCCUUCCUCUCUGCUCUCCACUGCUCAGCUCCCCUCUCCCUCCCGCCUACGUACCCAGCCCAACUCCCUAGAACUGACCAGUUUUCCCUCUUCAUCUCUCCAUCCUCUUGUAAAUGGUGAGCUACUUCUGAGAAGAGGCCUGUAUUUGUCCAGCUGUCUCUGGAUGGGCAGGUUUAAUUUUCUGAGCAAAGGGGUAUUAAACCCAGUUGUCAAACCCAGCAUUACUGGUAGUAAUAGAUAUUUUGCUCCUUUUGUCUCACUCCUUGGUAUAUCUGAGUUGGUUUGGAGCACUGAAGGAGAGGAAGCAUAAUUCAUCUCCUGCUUAAAAUCCUCAAAUCUCAAAGUCUGGAAGAUAUAUAGAUAGAUUACAGAUAUCAAUAUCAAUAUAUAGAUAUAUAGAUAUAGCUGCUAGUAUUAUUUGUCUUUACAACAAAAUGUAAAGGGGAUGUUACAAUGGGUCAAUAGUAAUAAAUCUUAAUUUCUUAGCCAUGUGAAGCUUAAGAACUUAAUUUUUUUUUCUUUUCAAUAACAUACAGAUAGCACAGGAUUUAAAAGGAAUAGAAUAGGGUAAAAAAUCUUCCUCCUCUCUAACCCUCCAGGUACCCAGUUCUCCCCAUAGGUGACCAUUAUUAAUCACUUUCUUAUUUAUCCUUCUAUGAUUAUUCAAUUUGUAUACAAGCAGAUAUGUGUACUUUAAUUAAAAGCUGGAAUUCUAGACAUACUGCUAUAAGCCUUGCUUUUUCAUUUAACCUGUCUUGUAGAUUAUUCCGUAUUAUUCCUUAAGGAAUAUUCCUUAAGGAAUAUUUCCCAUUAUUCCUUAUCAGCCGUUGUCAGACUCAGUGGAAUCCCAUUAUAUGGCUGUGCUAUAACAAUCAAGUCCUUACUGCUGGACAUUCAAAUUGUUUUUAACCUUAUGUUAUUAAAAAUAAUGCUUUCAUGACUAGUAGGUGUGCAAAGUAACAAAGAUCAGGUAACUCUAGGUACCACUUUCAUUGCAUUGCCCUAUUUACCAGGCUUGAACUUUGCAGUUCCUCCCCAGUUUCUGUUCUAGUCAUGGCCACUAGCAUUCACCUGCUGUCUCAGCAGGUACAAAGUAUAAGCAGAGAUAUUAGGUGUAGAAAUUGUCAUACUUAAUGUCUUGAAUUCUCUCAGAGAUUUAAAAGAAUUAUAAAGGAAACAAACGCAGGUGGCAGUUGACCUACUUAAAUCUCUGGUAUCACUCUGGGGCUACUAAAAUAGAAGUGACAUGGAACACAAGGGAAGAGAGUCAUAAAGUAUGUGCUAUAUAUGGUACAUAUAAAAUAAUCACGCCAACUUAAAAUCAAUCUUUUGAACAAUUUUUAAAUUUGGGAGCUAUUUUAAUUGCACAGUAGAAUACAACCAACGUAAGUUAAAGCAAAUUUAUGCUUCCUUUUUAUUUUUCCUUUACUUAGGCCUUGCUUUCCUAGUAUCCUCCCAAGUAAGGGCCCUUCUAGUACCAUUUUGCCAUGCUAGCAGUUUCUUCUUUUUAUUCAUGCUUAUGUCUCCAAAUUAUCCCUUCUCUCCCAAAUAAAGUUCUUUUCCCUGUGUACCUAAUUUUUUAUUUAUUCUCACAAAUAAAGGAUUUGAUGGAUUUUCACCUGAGUGGCUAAUUUUUUUUUAAUCUCCUAGAAGUACUUAAGAUUUUUAACAGCAAGAGCAGGUGAGUGCUAGAUACUAAUUUACAUGCAUUUUAAUUUAAAUAUUGGGAGUAGAAUAAGGGCCCAUAGACUAACAUAACAUGCCCAGUGAUACAGCAGAACCAGAGUUUGGAUGCAGAGCUACUUAACUCCAAAAUCUACACUUUCCCCACUUCUCAUCAAUGUUCAAACAUUUUUGUUUGAAAACCCCUAAGCUAACUUUCAAAAUUAUGUACCCUCACAAAGUUUUAAAUUGACAUUUAAUUUUUUUUUCAUCUUAAUAGUUGCAUUGCCCUCACCCAUCCCAAACAGCAUGAAAAUGGGCUUUCAGCCUAGCAGUGUGCACCAGGGAAAGGAGAAAAUGGAUUAAACAGGUUGACAUCUCUGCUACAAGUUUUAUUGGAAAUGCAUGUCUUGAGAAGAAUUAUGAUCCAACUUUUUAAGGAAAUCUAAUGAAAGAGAAUGUUUUAAUUUGCUAAAAACAAAUUUCUCUGGCAGCUAUUUAAAAAUAUUUCUUGUAAAUAGGAAGUAGGAAAUUUUAAACAUUUUAUCAGAUGACAUAAGAUGAGGACAGUAAUCAUAUUUUGUAUGACUUGAUAAAAACAUGUCUUUUCAUUAACACACUGAACAAGCAAAAUAAACAAACCCUUACUCUUAACAAGUAUUUUUAAAGACAAAUUCAGUAAAUCUUGAAUUUAUGAGAACUCGGUGAAUCAUUAAAGAAGGCUUCACCUUUGUGUGGCCCAUAUGGUUUUCACAUCUAGAGAUAUGUGCGAUGGGUGAGGGCAAUGCCAUUUCUUAUAAAAUGGGAGACAGUGUAUUAUCAGAGAAAUCAAUUUUACAAAAGAUUACUUGUGGUAGUUGAGAAUCUGGAAAUUGAUUCCUUUAAGAUGAUUUAUGCCUAGGUAAACUUCUCUGAAAGUAUUUAUGUGCUCCUGGGCAUACCCCCAAUUUGAGUAUCGCUGUGUUACACCAUACUACCUUGACAACACAAGGAAGUUUCUAAAGUGUUUUUGUCAAACUUGGGAGAUAUAUUUAUGCCUCCCUUUACCCUUAGAUUAUAUGCUCUGUUUCAUGAGAAAAAAGUCGUGAGAGGCAAUGAGUGGCAGUGGGGGGUAGGGGUCACUGGAGUGUCACUGAGCCUGGGAGAGGCCAUGGGUCAUGGAAAGGCAGUUUCUCAUAUCCUGCUCAGGGACUGGAUAUUUAUGGUGAAGCAAAAGUAAUAUAGUGGUGAUGCUGGAAAAACAUAAUCAGCAAA